RNAcentral lists this ribosomal RNA (460 nucleotides) under uncultured bacterium. RNAcentral's name for it is "partial 16S ribosomal RNA". It matches the Rfam family "Bacterial small subunit ribosomal RNA", at positions 338 to 795 of the family's 1533-position model. The record is from RNAcentral.
CCUACGGGAGGCAGCAGUGAGGAAUAUUGGUCAAUGGACGCAAGUCUGAACCAGCCAUGCCGCGUGCAGGAAGACGGCUCUAUGAGUUGUAAACUGCUUUUGUACGAGGGUAAACGCAGAUACGCGUAUCUGUCUGAAAGUAUCGUACGAAUAAGGAUCGGCUAACUCCGUGCCAGCAGCCGCGGUAAUACGGAGGAUUCAAGCGUUAUCCGGAUUUAUUGGGUUUAAAGGGUGCGUAGGCGGUCGGAUAAGUUAGAGGUGAAAGCCCGAGGCUCAACUUCGGAAUUGCCUCUGAUACUGUUCGGCUAGAGAGUAGUAGCGGUAGGCGGAAUUGAUGGUGUAGCGGUGAAAUGCUUAGAGAUCAUACAGAACACCGAUUGCGAAGGCAGCUUACCAAGCUACUUCUGACGUUGAGGCACGAAAGCGUGGGGAGCAAACAGGAUUAGAUACCCGUGUAGUC